Molecule: long non-coding RNA, 1902 nt
Organism: Gadus macrocephalus (Pacific cod)
Lineage: Eukaryota; Metazoa; Chordata; Actinopteri; Gadiformes; Gadidae
Exons: 3
Source: RefSeq, a predicted model, not a curated record
GGGAGGUGAGUGGAGUGACAGAGAGAGGGAGAGAGAGCGAGAGCGAGAGAGAGAGAGAGAGAGAGAGAGAGAGAGAGAGAGAGAGAGAGAGAGAGAGAGAGAGAGAGAGAGAGAGAGAGAGAGAGAGAGAGAGAGAGAGAGAGAGAGAGAGAGAGAGAGAGAGAGAAAGAGAGAAAGAGAGAGAGGAACGGGGGGCUGGGAGGCAGAUAAAUAGAGAGACAGAAGGAGAAAGAAAUGGGGAGAGAGAAAAGGAGGCUCAGGGUUUUGAUUCCGAGUUUUGACUCAUAAUAAGAAGAGGCGAGAAGACAAGAGAGGAGAAGAGUGACCGUGUAAUCAGCUUAACGAGGAAUCAUCGCUCAAUGGGCCAGCAGCGCCUCUAAUCUUUAGUGGAGCGUGAUAAGACGCGUGCGACGAGCCGCUCGGUGUGUGUAGCUGGUGUAGACACUGCGGGACCAAUGACCUCAUCAUCACAGCCGACCCCAGGAGCCAUGGAGCCUGUUGCGCCAGGACCUCGCCCUGCUGAGGCUAAACACGCGCCACGACCACCACGAAGAUGCUAACCCCGUGGCGGUAGAGGAAGAGAAAGACGGCACUUGGAACUGAAGAACUCUUACUUACUUCCUGUGGUUUGGACAACAACUUCCCGUCCACCAAACCUAUGUCGAAUUAUACUGAAAAUAACCAGAUGCUGAGGUCAAACCAGUGACCCUUGAGUGUGGACCGUGACUAUGGCAACGCUUCUGCUCCUGCCGCUGGUCCUGGGUCUGUUGGCGGGGGGCCGGGCCCAGUACGAGGUCUGCCGCUCGCUGCGAGGUUCGGAGGCGGGGCCUGGCUGGGAGUUCUACGCCUGUCAGCCUCCGCCCACCAACAUGAAGGAGUUCAUGCAGAUCAGGGUAGAGCCGCCCGGGAUGACCUGUGGAAACCCACCGGAACGCUUCUGCACCCUGGUACGGCACACACACACACACACACACACACACACACACACACACACACACACACACACACACACACACACACACACACACACACACACACACACACAUAUACGUCUACAUACAAACACACACACAUUCAAACACAGACACACACACACUAUUACAAUCACAUACAUGUAAUCACCCGCACACACAUUCAAACACAGAGACACAAACACAAUCUGUGUGUCAUACAAACACACACAUUUGCAAUCACAUACUCUCACACGCACACACACAAACACACACAGACACACUACCAAACACUAUCACAAAUUAUUAUUGAUCACACACACAGGCACACAACCACACACACACACAUACAUGCUUGUGUGAUCACAUACACACACACACACACAUUAACAAAAACUAUCACAAACACAUAAUGUAUGCACACACACACACAGUUCAGAAAGGCAUGGGUCAAGCCUAACUGUCAGUCAUACUAAUGAGCCGACAGACAGACUGACUGACUGACUGACAGACAGACUCAAGCAUUUAAUUGUUCCCUUGGGACAAUUAAUAGGUGUGGAUCCCAUCUGAAUUAUUAAUGACGGUAAUAAUUAUUAUAAAGGUGAAAUUGAAUAGCUCUUGAGGCCCCUGGUGUAAAUGUGGCAGUGGCUGAUGUCAUUGCUCUUGACCUUAUGGAAAGGAUAUAGCUAACUCACUUACUACUAAGACAACUUAGCUCUAUCAACGCAGUCGUUCUGUAGUUAAUCAUGACCAGAAUCCAUGUUGGAUACUGUUGGAAUGUUUCGUGGACUGUGUAAUGUGUGUCGACUGUUCAAAGUGUAUGUGUGUAUGUGUGUGUAUGUGUGUGUGUGUGUGUGUGUGUGUGUGUGUGUGUGUGUGUGUGUGUGUGUGUGUGUGUGUGUGUGUGUGUGUGUGUGUGUGUGUGUGUGUGUGUACGUGUGUGUGUGUGUGU